CGCUGGCGGCAGGCCUAACACAUGCAAGUCGAGCGGAUGAAGAGAGCUUGCUCUCUGAUUCAGCGGCGGACGGGUGAGUAAUGCCUAGGAAUCUGCCUGGUAGUGGGGGACAACGUUUCGAAAGGAACGCUAAUACCGCAUACGUCCUACGGGAGAAAGCAGGGACCUUCGGGCCUUGCGCUAUCAGAUGAGCCUAGGUCGGAUUAGCUAGUUGGUGAGGUAAUGGCUCACCAAGGCGACGAUCCGUAACUGGUCUGAGAGGAUGAUCAGUCACACUGGAACUGAGACACGGUCCAGACUCCUACGGGAGGCAGCAGUGGGGAAUAUUGGACAAUGGGCGAAAGCCUGAUCCAGCCAUGCCGCGUGUGUGAAGAAGGUCUUCGGAUUGUAAAGCACUUUAAGUUGGGAGGAAGGGCAUUAACCUAAUACGUUAGUGUUUUGACGUUACCGACAGAAUAAGCACCGGCU
Molecule: ribosomal RNA, 468 nt
Filed under: uncultured bacterium
Lineage: Bacteria
Description: bacterial SSU rRNA
Rfam family: Bacterial small subunit ribosomal RNA
Source: RNAcentral